CUACUGUGUACGGCCACUCUUAAAAUUAUUGGUUUUUCUGUGUCUCGUAGGCUAUGAAGGUCAAAAAAUGGGCGGGGAGAACGUGUAGCUGUGGGUAUCUUUGUUUUCUUAUACCACGACUUGACUCUUAGGCAUGAUGCUAUUUUCAUACUCCAGUUUUUGGUCCUGCUUAUUUCGUUGUUGAAGAGGCAAGGCAGUGGCAUUCAUAGUUGGUCUUCUUAAUUUUCUUAGCCAGGUUUUCUAAUUUGUUCGCCAAUGAGCUUUUGUAUGAGCUUUAUUUUACCUCGGCUUUUUCAUAGCAUUUUUAGUGUAAUAGCAUAAGCUAGUUUUUAAUGAUCAAUGAAACUAUCUAUGCCUUUGAAA
Molecule: unclassified non-coding RNA, 363 nt
Filed under: Hevea brasiliensis (rubber tree)
Lineage: Eukaryota; Viridiplantae; Streptophyta; Magnoliopsida; Malpighiales; Euphorbiaceae
Source: RNAcentral